Long non-coding RNA from Corvus hawaiiensis (hawaiian crow), 6734 nucleotides. RefSeq lists it as uncharacterized. The transcript has 2 exons. The record is from RefSeq and is a predicted model, not a curated record. Lineage: Eukaryota; Metazoa; Chordata; Aves; Passeriformes; Corvidae.
CGGCGGGGCCUCGGCACAGCGCUCCAGGGACACCCGAGAGGGCGGGCCUGGGACGGCGUCCCCCUCCCGUUCCCAUCCUCGGGGCCCUUCUCGCCUCGCUGUCCCCACCCUGUUCCUCCCCACCGUGGCGAGAUGCUGCUGCGAGAGCUGGAGCCCCCCCCCAGCACAGUGAAAGUGACCCAAAAUGGGCAUUUUGCCGAGUUUUUUCACUGCUGUCAUGUUUCAUGAUGUUUAUUUCCCCAGGACUCCUCUUUGGGUUGUUUACUCGUUUUAUUUGCAGUGGGUUUGGGCUGAGAGACUCCAGCUCAUCUACACCCUGUGCUGUGGGGUUUGGGUCAGUAAGUCUUUUAGGAGCCCUGUUUUUGGUUUAGGAGCCCUCUUUUUGGUUUAUUAGACACAGUAAACCAAAAGAAACAGCAAAACCGCCCCACAAAGUGAACCUGUGUGGUUUUUCACUGUGUUUUUUCCAGUUAUAAGUCAGGUGCAGGUAAUGAAGAGGAUGAAACAUCACAAAGUCUUAGCAUAAAGCCUUCUGGUAAAUCUUAAAAUUAACUCUGGCACCCUUGGUGGUUUUAAGACCAGAUAAUAUAGCGGUGUUGAGCUGCUGGAUACCAAGGAGAUGUAUCUGGGGAAAGCUGAUUUUUUGCUAGCUUUUCCAUAGUCAUCCUUCAGGCACCCACAGCUGAAUAUUGCUGAGCCAGAUGUGGGGCUAGAGGAAUGUCAUUUUGGGGCAAUAUGUGUGUUUCCAUGUAUUAAGCACUAGAGAGAUGUUAUAGUUUUGUAGAGCAAAGGCAUAGGUUUAAAAUAAGAUGAAUUUUAAUUUAUAAGCUUUGUUUGAUGAGAUAGAUACAAUUCUGCAGGAAUUUUGGGUUAAAACUGAAAGCUCUGCUCAGCAUGACACGAGCUAGUGCACUGUCUCAGAGGAACUUGCCUGAUUAGCACUCAACAGAGGUUAAAAAACCCCCCUUAUUUCAUACAGUUCUGACACUUUUGGGGGCCUAAUCUGCAUAUCUUGAUAGUGAUGUUUCUGUAUCAAUCCCGUGGAGGGUUUUUUGAGUGAUGUGGAGUUAACUCCAGCUGAAGAGCUGCUCCACAUGCAGAGCACUGCUCCGUGCACAUCCAUCAUCUUCGGGAGGCAUUAACUAACUGUAUCUAUAAUAGUGAUCAAGGAUGUUUAUUGCCUUUCUUCCAAGCAUAGUUUAGACUUUUUCCUUUUAUUCCCCUCCCAGUAUCUGACCAUGAAAGGGUGCAGAGUGAAAGCUGUUUGCUUAAAUCCAGCUCAGAUAAGAUGAACGGAUAUGAGGUUUGCUUUUACCUAGGAGCACUGUCACGACGGGCAACUUCACAGGCCUGCUGAUUGUUAUUCCUGGCAGCUCAGACCACAGCAACAACUCAAAAAAUGAACAUUCAGUAUCAUUUUAUGAAAGAUUUUUGAAUUUUUUCUUUUUAAAAUGGAUGCAAAGACAGCAUUCUCUGAAAAAGCAAGUGUUGUCAUUCACGUUGUAUUGGACUACAAUGAAAAAGGGUUUUGGAAACUCCCACUGGUGCCACUUAAAACUGGCUAUUAUUCAGGCUUUCAGGGGAAGGAUACUGGGAAAACAGCAGCUAAAGCAUAAUCUUCCAGAUAAACCUAAAGAGCACGAGAGGAAGAGUUUCAGGGUUUUGUUUUUAACAGGUUCAUCACUUGUCUGAUUUUGCCUUGCUCUCCUCUUGCGUGACUUGCUUUUAAAACUCAUAAAAGUCCUGCCAUCAUGAAAUUCUUAAAAAUUUUCAAAUCACGCUACUUGGUGCCUGUGAGGGUUUUUUGGGGGGGCGGGGGGAGGAAAAGGAGAUAAAACCAUAAAUGUACACAACUGAUAUAAAAAUUAGAGUCCCUCAGUGACGCAGCGAGACGCAUUUAGGAUUUGUCAGAAAAAUCAGGAGUUAGCAAACACUGCCAGGCACAUCUUCCUGCAGGAAGAUUUCUGUCCUGUGAGAGAUGUAUAGUCCAUUUUCUCUCUGCAACUGCUUUUAGGUUCUCAGCCCUCUUUUGUUGCCAGUUGUCUUCAAGUUUCACCAUCACUCUUCCUGUGGGGAUCUUGCAGAGCAGUAAUGGAUCUGCUGCGUGAUGCUGGUCCCCAGGGCACCCCAGACAUCCCCUCCUUCACUCUGCCUGUGGCCACUCACCGUGAAUUUCAUUUGCAGGGAGGUGCUCACUCUGAAUCCAGGAAAGGGGAAGGAUUCAGGCAGCAGAAACCAAGCACACUUGAUCCCACUGAGGAGUAUGUCAGACCCUGGAGGCGAAUUCGUGGGACAGAAGUGGAGUGUGAUCAAGAAGCCAAGAAGGAAGAAAAGAAGGAAGAUGAGGAGCAAGACUUUGUAAUGAAGAGUGUUUAAGCAGAAGCAGGGAAUUUUCUGUCACCCGCACUCAAAUUAGCAAAAUACUUUGCAUUUUCACCGUACCUACUGCAGAUCUCAUGGGUGUCAUGAGUGCUCCUGCUCUGCAUACCCCAGAAAUGAGCAAGUUUUAUUCCAUUAGGUAGCAGAAAUCAGUUUUAGAAAGUGAUAAAAGGAAAAUAUUGAAGGCAAUCUUUGAACUGAACAAGUUCAGUAGUGGGUAAGAUACUUUUAAAGGCAAACUACCAACUUCUGCUGUGUUAAACACUGAUUUUUCAGAUAAGUGGAAAGAAAACCAUCAGUUCCUGUAAAUGACUUGAUUUGCUUUUACCACUCAUUUUUUAAAGUUACACAUAUGACUGCAAUGCUGGCUGAGUCUCAGAAACCACCAGUGAAUGUCCACUGUAACUGCUGGAAAGUCAGGAUUUCUCUGUGUGUGGGGAUUGUAUCAUCCCACAAAGAUCACAGGUAGUCUCCCACACAGAUUAGGUGACGUUUUUCAAUCUGUACGAGCACGACUGAAUUUUGGUAUUCAAUAUCAUGAACCAUGUGAUUUCAGGCAAUUGUGGUGCUCUCAAAAUUUGAAGAGAGUCCAUGGAAUGGUAUUUUUAUGUGGAAAACUGAGCAAGUUUUUGCUCAGUGUUGGACCAUCAUCAACAAAAUGCUGCUAAAAUGACUGUGCUGCCAUCUUUCAAGCCACUCAGACAGAAAAAGACACUUUUUAUCACUGAACUACCAGGCAACUCAAGCCACUAGAAAUAGGUUUCUUUGCUUGCUGCUGCAUGUCCUCCCAAGCAGCACCAAAACUCUGAAGGCAAGAUUUUGGCCAGUUUUCAAAACAACCACUGAGCAAUCUGAGUGCAGCUUCUAACCAGCUGCUUGUCCCAGUGUAAAAAGAGGCAGCUCAGCUUUCCAGUGGCACAUUCCCAAGCGCCUGCUUUGCAGGCAGAGGCUGUGCCAGAGGCCUUGGGUAACUGGUGUCUGGUCCUGGCUUGUGCCGGGACCAGCUCUGUGCCUUUGGGCUGGGAUGGUGCUGCAGGGCUUGCAGCAUUGCAGAGCACUUCUCUUGCUCUGGGUGGUGUUUUCUGAGGCAUGUGGAAGUGUGGGGAGUUGUAGGUAUACUCAAACAGCAGUGCCUCCAAGGAUUUUAGCUUUGGAGGAGUUUGGAUCGUGGACCCCACGCAGGAGGCAGUAGCCACUUGGCUGUCAGAAAGGCAGUGGACAGCAGGGCACAAAACCAGCUGGUGUGCAGAGGCAGAGCCCUCGAGGCUCACACUCUGAGGCCAGAUGUCCCAGGAGUGUGUUGGACUGACUCUGUGACACACUUUUUGGUCGCUUUCUGUUAGAGUGUGGGAUUGCCUGGGUUUGCGCAUGUAGUCCCAGGUUUGGAUGGGUGAAUAUUUUUGGCAUUCCCACGGCAUCCAAAAGGCUCAGACAUCUGCAUUUACAAGUUUCUGUCAGGAGGUGACCCAGGGACUCCUUUAAGAGUUACUGGCUCACCCUACCUUAUUUUACAGCUUCCAUGCUCUGUAAGGAGCUCUUGUAUUACACUUAGCAAUGUACAAACCCCGUUCCUUCUGCAUGUGACUGAAACAAGAGACAGGGUUGGUGUCCCACUCAUUCUGGGGAAAUUAUUAACACUUGCUCAGGCCUAUUGAAGCAGGAUUUCCAGUGUGAGUAAAGGAGCACACUGUCUAGUCCCCAUUAUCACUGCUCUUUUCAGCUGAAUAUUCUGUGUAGGUAGAGGAGGUAACAUGAACCAUAAUGCUGUCAGUGUGUGACUGGUACACCUCUUACAUCUCUGAGCGAGGCAGUUCAUUAUCUUUGCUUCCCAGGGGUUGUGAACAAAAUUAAAAUUUCUCUAAGAACAGAUUCCCUGAAGGUUUAGGGUGACCUCUUUUCUCGUUUUGCAUGAUAGGGCCUCAAAUCAAAUGCAACGGUUUUCAGUUAAUAUAUUUCAUUUGUGACAUUGUUGGUAUUUAGGCUUAAAUUCAUAUUCUGUCAAAUCUCAUUAGUUUAUUUUAAUAAGGAUCAUCUUGGUUGUAGCUCCCUGGCUUCAAUUAUAGCUAGGAUAUCUUUUAAUAACCAUGAGAAGCUCUGAUAUCAGUUCCUUAUUUGAGCACUGCUUUGUGGUUUCUUAUGGGACGUGCCUCAAAUGAGAGGUGUUAAUAUUUGAAAAAUAUUUUAGGAGAGAUGCCUCGUGAAAGGUAUCACAGAUCUUUUUCCAUUUGCAUGGCUUAAAAGGUACUUCUGAUUAUUGUCUUGAAGUCUACUAAGGUUUUUGCGUCCUGGAUAUCCAGGAAUAUUUUCUCCAAGGAGUUGUCAUGAGCUGGUGAAAGAGAAGAACGUGACAGCCACCCAUAACUGUGUUAAAGGAUUGUCCUGGGGCAAAGUUUGCAGGGGCAGCAGCUCUGGGGUGGAGGUGCAGCUACAACUGGUUGAGCUGUCCUGGUGAUUCCACGUCUGCUGGUGGAACUUGUGCUGCUGCUGCUGGGAAUUCAUGGAUGGCGUGGCUCCCUACAAAGGAAGCAGUCACUUUGUCUUUUGAGUCUGUUAAUACAUUUUCUGCAGGGAGGCUUCUGUGGUAAUAGAAUGCUCCUUUUUUGACAGCAGUGUUUUUACCUGCAGGUGUGGCUUUCGUGGUGGUUUUUUUUUGAAUUUGCUAGAUUGAAUGCUCAUUAUUUGAGUAUAUAUAUUGGCCAACAGAAAUAAUUUUACUCGUCCUCUAUGCAGGGUUUCCAUCAGUGUAGCUGAGGGAAAGCUGCAUGCAAUAAUUCUCAUUUCCUGUUUACUUGUUCUUGGAAAAAUUGUCAAAAGGGAUGAAAACCUUGUCUGACUUGUGACAAGAUCCAGCGAAUCACUUUUGAUACAAUCUCAUGAUCCCUAUCUGGUGGAGUAUUUUGAAGUGGAGUCUCUGUCAGUACAAAUAAAUUAAACAUAUGCACACAUAAGAUAGUGCUGCCAAGAACUUAAUGAAUUUAAAUGGCUAGGAGUGCAGCAUUUGUACACUGGGGUGCGUUCACACCAUGAUUUUAAAUGCUGUAGACUGUUGGUUUUAAUUUCUUGAGUGAUUCAGUGUGGAAAAUAUUCAUCAGGUUAUAAAAAUGUGUUGACUUUGAUCCUUCUUUAUUUUCUUUUUAGGAAGACUGAAAAUCUUUGCCGUCACAGUAAGUGGAAAAUCAAUAUAAUAAGAAAAUGAUGAUUUACCUUUUCAUAUGGAAAUAUGUCUUCUGAGCACAGUUAGAAAAAGAGUCUUAAAGAGACCAGAUUCAGGGAAUUUUUCCUUUUUAAAUGAGGAUGGUUAUUUAAGAAAAACAAUUUAAAUGGGAGAAAAAUCUUAUUCACCAGUGUUGAAAUUAACUUCACCUGCAUAAAUUCUGAGUUAUAAUCUAUGAAACCAUUCAUAUGAGGAGAACCAAAUGCUGUUGGAAUGCUGAAGUUUUACAGUUGUGAGCUGUGCCACAUUACUAAAAACCAAGCCCUACACAGUAAAAGUCUUUCAGCUCAGCCCAGCUUUCCUCAUACUUUUGCAAUAAAUGCAAAAGGUAAAACCUUAGCAGCAGGAGAAUUUAUCUGUUUUAAAAGGUACAAUACUGCUCUGCAGAGGAUCUAGAAGAAAGGAAGCAGAGUUAACACAUGAAAAACGGUAAAAUAAAUAAAUAAAAAAAUAAAGGUGAUGAAGCCUUGCUGGGCAAAACACAGAAUGAAUAGAGGGCUUCUGUCAUUUGUAGAGGAUGCAAAUUAAAAUAGCAGUUCAGGAUAUAACCCUGCAGAGCUCCAGCCACAGGGACCCUCACCCUGAUCUAUAAAGAGGAUUGGAGUAUUUAAAAAAGGGUUUCCUAUCUUCAGAGCCCCUGCUCCUUUCAAGCUGUACCACAAACCAUUCACCACAAGCGGUAGGCAAAUAACUGGCUGAGCUGGGCAUGAACUGCAAAAAAACUCUUAGAUUUAAAGAAAACAACCCCAGCCAAACAAACAAAAAAAGUUGCUCUUAUACUAUUUUGUGUCAGUGAAUAAUGACAGUGAUGUUUUCAUAACAUUCACAAAUACAUACCUAAAUGCCUUCCUAAAAUACCUAAAAAGCCAUUUUUUAAAUGCUUGUUUCGUUUGUACUUUUAAAAAUAAUUGCUAUGUAUAUGUGUGUGCAUGUCUUUUUUUGAACCUGACAGUAUUUCUGUCCCCACCAAUGAAGAUUUCUGUGAAAGAUGCCACAGUGAAUAAAAAAACAACCCUUCUUUAGUUCUUUCUUGCAUCAUAUACUAAUUUUCAGGUGGAUCUAAUACUGUCUUUUUGUCCAAUUAUUUGUGCAUUAUUGGAUAAUACCAAGAGAGAUUAAAGAAUUUGUUCUUCAGUCUUCA